This 70-nucleotide transfer RNA is filed under the name Callosciurus adamsi (ear-spot squirrel). RNAcentral describes it as "tRNA-Thr". Lineage: Eukaryota; Metazoa; Chordata; Mammalia; Rodentia; Sciuridae. The record is from RNAcentral.
GCUUUAAUAGUAUAANCAAUUACCUUGGUCUUGUAAACCAAAAAUGAAGUACCUCAACCUUCUUAAAGCA